This is a long non-coding RNA of Hyaena hyaena (striped hyena), 1423 nucleotides long. RefSeq lists it as uncharacterized. The record is from RefSeq and is a predicted model, not a curated record. Lineage: Eukaryota; Metazoa; Chordata; Mammalia; Carnivora; Hyaenidae. The transcript is spliced from 3 exons.
GACCCUCUCAAGAAAGACCCAGGUUGACAGAGGGAUGAAUAGUGGAUUUCUGGGUAUACAAAAGACCAAAAAAAUCCAGCACACAGGUGCCAAGGCUCCACCCCAGAUUCACUCAGCAACAUGUCUACAUCUGGAUCUUGAGAGUCCCGUGUUUUCCGUUCAGCCAGAUUGAGGAAAUUACUUCUCUGUGAUGAAGAGUUAAGUGCUGGUGUGGAGACGGGACAGCUGGAGGAGCACAUGGGGAACGGAAGUUCAGAAGCUCAGUUCCUGGUUUUGUCUGUUUGCCAUCAGACAUUUUCAGAGCACUCGUGAAUUGUAAAGACCACUAUUAUUCAAAACAGACUCCUAAUACCUGGGAGAGGCAAUGGAAAGAGAGUUUUCCUUUGGGUAAAUUCGGGAAAGCAGCACAGUAGAGAAUGGCCUCCAGGGCACUUUCCUGAGGGCUGGCCAGAUUUCUACCCUGCUGGCGGGGAAAGGACGAUUCUACCAGACACUUGGCUGCUUAUUGACUGGAAAGGAAAUUCCUGGAGAGAGACUUUACUGUUCCAAGGCUUUUGAGACACAAGGGAAUCCCAGUGACCGAGGAUCCUGGGAAAGGCCGGAAAGCUCGUGUGCCCAGUCCUGCGAACUCAGGCCAUCUCCUCAGAGGGAAGUGCUGCUGCUCUGGCCUAGGGAGAUAAAGGCCAAGUCCAGGAACUGACUCAUCAACCAGGGAUCUGUGUGACUCCCCUUCUCACUCCUGCUUUCUCAUCAGUCCAUCCCCGUUCUUUCUUCUGUUCGCAGACCCUGUAGGUCCAUAGAAGGCAAGCAAUGAGCAACUUGACUUGCUCCCUUCCCCUCAGAUCUCUCCUUAAUAAUUGAAAGGAAGGAUAUUUUUUCUUUUAAAGCUCCAUAUUAAGGCUGAGACAGUUCAUCCUCUCUCUCUUAGCGCUUGGACUUGACACCUGAAACCUACCCAUCCUUCACCUAUGCAGCUCAUACCUUUUCCAUCAAGAGUCCAUCUCCCUGCCUCCUGACAUCUUGGAGCUUUCUCAAGGGCCACAAUACCUCACCUAGCUUGAGGGCCUAAGUCCUAAUGCUGUGUUAGUUACAUUGCCAGAACAAAUUAAGAUUUGCAAAGAAAAAAAAAAAAAGCCUGGGCUCCUGGCUGGCUCAGUCUGUACAACACAUGACUCUGGAUCUCGGUUGUGAGUUGAAGUCCCACGUCAGACAUGGAGCUUACUUAAAAAAAAGAAAAAGAAAGCCGGUUCUCUCGUGUACAUGACCCCACCACAAAGCAGCUCUGUAAUUCAUACUGUGAGUUGCCUAGUUGGUUGCACCAUCCUAGACCUGUAACUACCCAAGUUCAACAAUAUACAGCUCUCUCUUUACUUCAACAUGUACAUCAAUAUACUCUGGUCAUGUUGUGCCUGAUUUUCUGUCA